CCAAUAGCGUAUAUUAAAGUUGUGUGCAGUUAAAAAGCUCGUAGUUGAACUUCAGACCUGGCUGGGUGGUCCGCUUAACGGCGUGUACUGCUUGGCUGGGCCUUACUUCUUGGUGAGCCGGCGUGCCCUUUAUUGGUGUGCGUCGGGGAACCAGGACUUUUACCUUGAGAAAAUUAGAGUGUUCAAAGCAGGCCUAUGCCUGAAUACAUUAGCAUGGAAUAAUAGAAUAGGACGUGCGGUUCUAUUUUGUUGGUUUCUAGAGUCGCCGUAAUGAUUAAUAGGGACAGAUGGGGGCAUUCGUAUUGCGACGUUAGAGGUGAAAUUCUUGGAUCGUCGCAAGACGGACAGAAGCGAAAGCAUUUGCCAAAAAUGUUUUCAUUAAUCAAGAACGAAAGUUAGAGGUUCGAAGGCGAUCAGAUACCGCCCUAGUUCUAACCAUAAACGAUGCCAGCUAGCGAUCCGCCGAAGUUCCUCCGAUGACUCGGCGGGCAGCUUCCGGGAAACCAAAGCUUUUGGGUUCCGGGGGAAGUAUGGUUGCAAAGCUGAAACUUAAAGGAAUUGACGGAAGGGCACCACCAGGAGUGGAGCCUGCGGCUUAAUUUGACUCAACACGGGAAACCUCACCAGGCCCAGACACCGGAAGGAUUGACAGAUUGAUAGCUCUUUCUUGAUUCGGUGGGUGGUGGUGCAUGGCCGUUCUUAGUUGGUGGAGCGAUUUGUCUGGUUAAUUCCGAUAACGAACGAGACUCUAGCCUGCUAAAUAGGCGUACCUUAUGGUAUCGCGAAGGCCCCCGGCUUCGGCCGGUGGGUUUUUACUACCAA
This 822-nucleotide ribosomal RNA is filed under the name uncultured eukaryote. Its description in RNAcentral is "bacterial SSU rRNA". It matches the Rfam family "Eukaryotic small subunit ribosomal RNA", at positions 591 to 1393 of the family's 1831-position model. The record is from RNAcentral.